UGAUAAGCAAGCUGCUUUGCUCUGGAGAGAAGGAAGUGGAUCUGGCUGUGCAGAAUGCGAAGGCUGCCUUUAAAAUAUGGAGUCAGAUGUCUGGCAUGGAGCGGAGCAGGGUGCUGCUGGAGGCUGCCAGAAUUAUUCGGGAGCAGAGAGAAGAAAUUGCCACCUUGGAAACCAUCAACAAUGGGAAAUCCAUCUUUGAAGCCAGAGUGGACAUUGACAUAUCCUGGCAGUGCCUGGAGUAUUAUGCAGGACUGGCAGGAUCUCUAGCUGGUGAACACAUCCAACUUCCCGGGGGAUCCUUUGGGUACACUCGCAGAGAGCCCCUUGGUGUGUGUGUGGGAAUUGGAGCCUGGAAUUACCCUUUCCAGAUUGCCUGCUGGAAGUCUGCGCCGGCCUUGGCUUGCGGCAACGCGAUGGUCUUCAAGCCCUCUCCCUUCACCCCUAUUUCGGUGGUGAGGUUGGCAGAGAUCUUCACAGAGGCUGGUGUGCCCAAGGGGCUCUUCAACGUGGUGCAGGGUGGAGCGGCCACAGGCCAGUUCCUCUGUCAUCACCCAGAUGUGGCCAAAAUCUCUUUCACUGGCAGUGUGCCAACUGGCGUCAAGAUCAUGGAGAUGGCAGCUAAAGGGAUCAAACCAGUCACCCUAGAGCUAGGGGGAAAAUCCCCCCUUAUCAUCUUUUCAGAUUGUGCCUUGGAGAACGCCGUGAAUGGAGCCCUCAUGGCCAACUUCCUCACACAGGGCGAGGUGUGCUGCAACGGCACGCGGGUGUUUGUGGAGAGGAAGAUACUGGAUGCCUUCACAAAGGAGGUGGUGAAACGCACCCAGAAAAUCAAAAUUGGAGACCCACUUCUGGAAGACACACGGAUGGGAGCCCUCAUCAACCGGCCUCACCUGGAUCGUGUCCAGGGCUUUAUCAAGCAGGCAAAGGAGCAGGGGGCAGAGGUGCUGUGUGGUGGGGACCUAUACGUGCCAGAUGACCCAAAGCUGAAGAAUGGCUACUACAUGAGACCCUGUGUUUUAGGGAACUGCACAGAUAACAUGACAUGUGUGAAGGAAGAGAUCUUUGGGCCUGUCAUGUCUAUUCUGCCGUUUGACACAGAGGAGGAGGUUGUGGAGAGAGCCAACACCACCAAAUUUGGCCUGGCAGGUGGUGUCUUCACCAGGGAUAUCCAGAAGGCUCACAGGGUAGUGGCUGCUCUCCAGGCUGGGAUGUGCUUCAUUAACAACUACAAUAUCAGCCCUGUGGAGCUGCCUUUUGGAGGAUACAAGUCAUCAGGAUUUGGCAGAGAGAAUGGGCGGGCAGCCAUCGAGUACUACUCGCAGCUGAAGACUGUCUGUGUGGAGAUGGGUGAUGUGGAAUCUGUGUUUUAGUGGCUCUGGGGCCUGCUCAAGGGAGCAUCAGCCAGUCCUUGCCUGUCAGCCAGAGAUGUGGAUCAUUUACACAGCAAUAAAGUGCUCUAAAAUUCUUGCUGCAACGUGGCUCCAGUUUGGCAGAUUUGCCUAUGCAGCUUCCUUCCCCCUCUGGAAAGGAAUAUUCAAGAAUGGCCUGAUGUGUCUAUUGGUGGCAAAGAAGGAGCUACUGGAUUUAGCCUCUCCCACAUGCCUGCCUCCUCAUGAGUUGUCUGCAUCUUUCAGUUAAAAAUAACCCAGGCUGCUUUUGAUCCUUUGCGCACCUCCUUUGGUGGUGGAAGUGAGUGGGAAGAUCACCAUGUUCCCCAUCUAUUCUUAUCAGAUAAACUCUUUGUGAAAGUGUGCUUAGAAGGGGGAGAAAGGGUUCCUGUCCUCCACCCAACAAGCUGCUGAGUAGCACUGCAGGGCUUGGAAGAACCAGGCAGGGUUGGAGGGACACUUCCCCCUCAUGGACUGGAGGCUGUGAAUGCUUCUGUUUGUCCGACAAGGCACCCUUAGGGGAAGGAAAUGGGUCUGAAGCAGCAGUAAUGAGUUUAUUAAAUGCUUGUGACUCCCCUGCACAAGACCUUCUACCACUACAUUUUCAGAAGGGGCACAGCUGUGAAGCAUGAUGUGGCUAGUGAAGCAGCCUGCUGUC
Egretta garzetta (little egret) is the source of this 2046-nucleotide RNA transcript. It is a transcript of the gene named aldehyde dehydrogenase 9 family member A1, with no coding region annotated. The record is from RefSeq and is a predicted model, not a curated record. Lineage: Eukaryota; Metazoa; Chordata; Aves; Pelecaniformes; Ardeidae. The transcript is spliced from 11 exons.